CCCUUCUUCUACAUGUUGAUUUUUCAUUUGGCAUUUGAAUGCAAAUAGAUACUCAUUUAGACAAUGUUUUUUAACAUGAUGGUCUCUUAUAAGAAUUCUUAUGCUUGUAGUUCUAAUUAUUAACUUAAUACAUUUAUGCACUAUCUAAACACUUUUUUUAAAAAUAUAAAUCCAUAAUAUUUGAUUAUUAUGAUGAUGACAUUAGAGAAAUAUUAAAUGAAUCCAUCCAAAUUUCAAAUCAAUCCACAAUUGAUAAAAUACAAAUUUACUUUCACGUGGCAUCCAUAGAAACUUCUCUUCUUACCAUACAUCUUUUAUCAAUCCUUCUUCAAAAUCCAUCUCCAAUGCCUCUCCAACUUCCUUCCAAUGUAAUAUAGUCUUCAUGUUGCACAUAUCUACCUUUGCAGCUAAUAUCUCAUACUUAAAUUUCCUACAUAUCUAUGAGAAGCAAACCAACACACCAAUCUUGCCUACUAUUUCAAUUUUCUUUUUGUUUAAAAACAUAAUAUUAGGUCAUUUGAUCCUUUGGAAUCCUUAUUGAUGUUAAAUUUUUUAUAUGCACACAUACACACACAUAUACAUACAUACAUACAUAUAUACAUACAUAUUUACACAUAUAU
Molecule: long non-coding RNA, 620 nt
Filed under: Physcomitrium patens
Lineage: Eukaryota; Viridiplantae; Streptophyta; Bryopsida; Funariales; Funariaceae
Description: long non-coding RNA (PPAT_LNC008822)
Source: RNAcentral